GUCCUGAUAGUUUAUUAAAAUAGCAGCAUGUGGGGCUGGAGAAGAGUUAAUCUUAGGACA
This 60-nucleotide transfer RNA is filed under the name Proasellus karamani. RNAcentral's name for it is "transfert RNA-H(CAC)". The record is from RNAcentral. Lineage: Eukaryota; Metazoa; Arthropoda; Malacostraca; Isopoda; Asellidae.